GACGAACGCUGGCGGCGUGCUUAACACAUGCAAGUCGAACGGAAAGGCCUGCUUUCCCUUGUGGAUUGCGGGUACUCGAGUGGCGAACGGGUGAGUAACACGUGAGUGAUCUGCCCCCAACUUGGGUAUAAGCCUGGGAAACUGGGUCUAAUUCCCGAUAGGACUGCAGGGUGGUGCCUGUGGUGGAAAACGAUUUUCUAGUGGUUGGGGAUGAGCUCGCGGCCUAUCAGCUUGUUGGUGGGGUAAUGGCCUACCAAGGCGGCGACGGGUAGCCGGCCUGAGAGGGUGGACGGCCACAUUGGGACUGAGAUACGGCCCAGACUCCUACGGGAGGCAGCAGUGGGGAAUAUUGCACAAUGGGCGGAAGCCUGAUACAGCGACGCCGCGUGGGGGAUGACGGCCUUCGGGUUGUAAACUCCUUUCGACCGCGAGGAAGCCACCUGGUUGGAAGGGUGGUGACGGUAGUGGUAGAAGAAGCACCGGCUAACUACGUG
RNAcentral lists this ribosomal RNA (494 nucleotides) under uncultured bacterium. Its description in RNAcentral is "partial 16S ribosomal RNA". It matches the Rfam family "Bacterial small subunit ribosomal RNA", at positions 28 to 507 of the family's 1533-position model. The record is from RNAcentral.